GAUGAACGCUAGCUACAGGCUUAACACAUGCAAGUCGAGGGGAAACGACAUCGAAAGCUUGCUUUUGAUGGGCGUCGACCGGCGCACGGGUGAGUAACGCGUAUCCAACCUGCCCAUCACUUGGGAAUAACCUUGCGAAAGUAAGACUAAUACCCAAUGAUAUCCCACGAAGGCAUCGGAAUGGGAUUAAAGAUUUAUCGGUGAUGGAUGGGGAUGCGUCUGAUUAGCUUGUUGGCGGGGUAACGGCCCACCAAGGCAACGAUCAGUAGGGGUUCUGAGAGGAAGGCCCCCCAAAUUGGAACGGGGACACGGCCCAAACCCCUACGGGGGGAAAGAGUGGGGAAUGUUGGCCAAGGGGGGAGGGCCUGAACCAGCCAAGUAGGGGGCAGAAAGCCGGCCCUAUGGGUUGUAAACUUUUUUUAUAAGGGAAAAAAGGGGGUCACGUGUGACUUUUUGCAUGUCCCUUAGAAAAAAGGACCGGCUAAUUCCGU
RNAcentral lists this ribosomal RNA (491 nucleotides) under uncultured bacterium. RNAcentral describes it as "partial 16S ribosomal RNA". It matches the Rfam family "Bacterial small subunit ribosomal RNA", at positions 28 to 506 of the family's 1533-position model. The record is from RNAcentral.